GUUUCUCUUCAGAUCGUAUGAAUCUUUAAAUUUACUAAAGAUUCCUGGGGAGGUGAGCA
Molecule: small nuclear RNA, 59 nt
Filed under: Cervus elaphus hippelaphus
Lineage: Eukaryota; Metazoa; Chordata; Mammalia; Artiodactyla; Cervidae
Source: RNAcentral